AUUGAACGCUGGCGGCAGGCCUAACACAUGCAAGUCGAGCGAGCGGCGGACGGGUGAGUACUGUCUGGGAAACUGCCUGUUGGCGGGGGAUAACUACUGGAAACGGUAGCUAAUACCGCAUACCAUCAGAUGUGCCCAGAUGGGAUUAGCUAGUCGGUGGGGUAACGGCUCACCUAGGCGACGAUCCCUAGCUGGUCUGAGAGGUUGACAAGCCACACUGGAACUGAGACACGGUCCAUGCUCCUACGGUAGGCAGCAGUGGGGAAUAGUGCACAAUGGGCGCAAGCCUGAUGCAGCCAUGCCGCGUGUGUGGAGGAGGCCUUGGGGGUGUAAAGCACUUUCAGCGGGGAGGCGUUACCCGCAGAAGAAGCACCGGCUAACUCCGUGCCAGCAGCCGCGGUAAUUC
Molecule: ribosomal RNA, 406 nt
Filed under: uncultured bacterium
Lineage: Bacteria
Description: partial 16S ribosomal RNA
Rfam family: Bacterial small subunit ribosomal RNA
Source: RNAcentral